RNAcentral lists this transfer RNA (75 nucleotides) under Kangiellaceae bacterium. RNAcentral's name for it is "tRNA-Gln". It matches the Rfam family "tRNA". Rfam says of the family: Transfer RNA (tRNA) molecules are approximately 80 nucleotides in length. Their secondary structure includes four short double-helical elements and three loops (D, anti-codon, and T loops). Lineage: Bacteria; Pseudomonadati; Pseudomonadota; Gammaproteobacteria; Kangiellales; Kangiellaceae. The record is from RNAcentral.
AGGGGUAUCGCCAAGCGGUAAGGCACCGGCUUUUGAUGCCGGCAUUCGUUGGUUCAAAUCCAGCUACCCCUGCCA